This 414-nucleotide ribosomal RNA is filed under the name uncultured bacterium. RNAcentral describes it as "bacterial SSU rRNA". It matches the Rfam family "Bacterial small subunit ribosomal RNA", at positions 362 to 773 of the family's 1533-position model. The record is from RNAcentral.
UAUUGGUCAAUGGACGCGAGUCUGAACCAGCCAAGUAGCGUGAAGGAUGACUGGCCUAUGGGUUGUAAACUUCUUUUAUAUGGGAAUAAAGUUUUCCACGUGUGGAAUUUUGUAUGUACCAUAUGAAUAAGGAUCGGCUAACUACGUGCCAGCAGCCGCGGUAAUACGGAGGAUCCGAGCGUUAUCCGGAUUUAUUGGGUUUAAAGGGUGCGUAGGUGGAUUGUUAAGUCAGUUGUGUAGGUUUGCGGCUCAACCGUAAAAUUGCAGUUGAAACUGGCAGUCUUGAGUACAGUAGAGGUGGGCGGAAUUCGUGGUGUAGCGGUGAAAUGCUUGGAUAUCACGAAGAACUCCGAUUGCGAAGGCAGCUCACUAGACUGAAACUGACACUGAUGCUCGAAAGUGUGGGUAUCAAAC